RNAcentral lists this ribosomal RNA (1384 nucleotides) under Enterobacter sp. RNAcentral's name for it is "bacterial SSU rRNA". It matches the Rfam family "Bacterial small subunit ribosomal RNA", at positions 75 to 1453 of the family's 1533-position model. The record is from RNAcentral. Lineage: Bacteria; Pseudomonadati; Pseudomonadota; Gammaproteobacteria; Enterobacterales; Enterobacteriaceae.
AGAGCUUGCUCUCGGGUGACGAGUGGCGGACGGGUGAGUAAUGUCUGGGAAACUGCCUGAUGGAGGGGGAUAACUACUGGAAACGGUAGCUAAUACCGCAUAAUGUCGCAAGACCAAAGAGGGGGACCUUCGGGCCUCUUGCCAUCGGAUGUGCCCAGAUGGGAUUAGCUAGUAGGUGGGGUAAUGGCUCACCUAGGCGACGAUCCCUAGCUGGUCUGAGAGGAUGACCAGCCACACUGGAACUGAGACACGGUCCAGACUCCUACGGGAGGCAGCAGUGGGGAAUAUUGCACAAUGGGCGCAAGCCUGAUGCAGCCAUGCCGCGUGUAUGAAGAAGGCCUUCGGGUUGUAAAGUACUUUCAGCGAGGAGGAAGGUGUUGUGGUUAAUAACCACAGUGAUUGACGUUACUCGCAGAAGAAGCACCGGCUAACUCCGUGCCAGCAGCCGCGGUAAUACGGAGGGUGCAAGCGUUAAUCGGAAUUACUGGGCGUAAAGCGCACGCAGGCGGUCUGUUAAGUCAGAUGUGAAAUCCCCGGGCUCAACCUGGGAACUGCAUUUGAAACUGGCAGGCUUGAGUCUUGUAGAGGGGGGUAGAAUUCCAGGUGUAGCGGUGAAAUGCGUAGAGAUCUGGAGGAAUACCGGUGGCGAAGGCGGCCCCCUGGACAAAGACUGACGCUCAGGUGCGAAAGCGUGGGGGAGCAAACAGGAUUAGAUACCCUGGUAGUCCACGCCGUAAACGAUGUCGACUUGGAGGUUGUGCCCUUGAGGCGUGGCUUCCGGAGCUAACGCGUUAAGUCGACCGCCUGGGGAGUACGGCCGCAAGGUUAAAACUCAAAUGAAUUGACGGGGGCCCGCACAAGCGGUGGAGCAUGUGGUUUAAUUCGAUGCAACGCGAAGAACCUUACCUACUCUUGACAUCCACAGAACUUAGCAGAGAUGCCUUGGUGCCUUCGGGAACUCUGAGACAGGUGCUGCAUGGCUGUCGUCAGCUCGUGUUGUGAAAUGUUGGGUUAAGUCCCGCAACGAGCGCAACCCUUAUCCUUUGUUGCCAGCGGUUAGGCCGGGAACUCAAAGGAGACUGCCAGUGAUAAACUGGAGGAAGGUGGGGAUGACGUCAAGUCAUCAUGGCCCUUACGAGCAGGGCUACACACGUGCUACAAUGGCGCAUACAAAGAGAAGCGACCUCGCGAGAGCAAGCGGACCUCAUAAAGUGCGUCGUAGUCCGGAUUGGAGUCUGCAACUCGACUCCAUGAAGUCGGAAUCGCUAGUAAUCGUAGAUCAGAAUGCUACGGUGAAUACGUUCCCGGGCCUUGUACACACCGCCCGUCACACCAUGGGAGUGGGUUGCAAAAGAAGUAGGUAGCUUAACCUUCGGGAGGGCGC